RNAcentral lists this ribosomal RNA (489 nucleotides) under uncultured bacterium. RNAcentral describes it as "partial 16S ribosomal RNA". It matches the Rfam family "Bacterial small subunit ribosomal RNA", at positions 29 to 507 of the family's 1533-position model. The record is from RNAcentral.
AUGAACGCUAGCUAUAGGCUUAACACAUGCAAGUCGAGGGGCAGCGAAUAGAUAGCUUGCUAUUUAUGUCGGCGACCGGCGCACGGGUGAGUAACGCGUAUCCAACCUGCCCAUAACUAAGGGAUAACCCAGCGAAAGUUGGACUAAUACCUUAUGUAUUCGUUUGAUCUCAUGAGAUUACGAAUAAAGAUUUAUCGGUUAUGGAUGGGGAUGCGUCUGAUUAGCUUGUUGGCGGGGUAACGGCCCACCAAGGCAACGAUCAGUAGGGGUUCUGAGAGGAAGGUCCCCCACAUUGGAACUGAGACACGGUCCAAACUCCUACGGGAGGCAGCAGUGAGGAAUAUUGGUCAAUGGACGCAAGUCUGAACCAGCCAAGUAGCGUGCAGGAUGACGGCCCUAUGGGUUGUAAACUGCUUUUAUAUGGGGAUAAAGUGGGGAACGUGUUCCCUUUUGCAGGUACCAUAUGAAUAAGAACCGGCUAAUUCCGUG